This 373-nucleotide long non-coding RNA is filed under the name Phoenix dactylifera (date palm). RNAcentral describes it as "long non-coding RNA (PDAC_LNC003907)". Lineage: Eukaryota; Viridiplantae; Streptophyta; Magnoliopsida; Arecales; Arecaceae. The record is from RNAcentral.
AUGGAUGGAGCUGUCGGAAAUUUGCACGAGAAUGAGCGUAGUUGCAGAGCUUCUCUGUGACGGAAGGAGGAAUAUGACAGAAAGAGAAAUGAUGCUCCAUGAAAGCAGUCAUGGGUGGAGUAUGCUUCUUUAGCAAAAACAGUUGCAGGUGGAUCGCAUAAGGGAAUGCAAAAGAAUGAUGGCUUGUAUAAACUUGAGCAUAGCUUGUGCUCCAAAAUUUCUUCACUAAACUUUUCUCUAAUAUUAUCUAACUCAGGGAGUAUAAAAGAGAAUUGCCCAGGAUGGUGGUUUGAUCUGAUGGUGGGAAUGCAAGGGAUGUUUUAGUAUUAAUUGGACAUAUGGGGUUUUUGUUAGAUGAUUUCCUCUUGGAGAU